GGGUUGUGAGGUUAAGCGACUAAGCGUACACGGUGGAUGCCCUGGCAGUCAGAGGCGAUGAAGGACGUGCUAAUCUGCGAUAAGCGUCGGUGAGGUGAUAUGAACCGUUAUAACCGGCGAUUUCCGAAUGGGGAAACCCAGUGUGUUUCGACACACUAUCAUUAACUGAAUCCAUAGGUUAAUGAGGCGAACCGGGGGAACUGAAACAUCUAAGUACCCCGAGGAAAAGAAAUCAACCGAGAUUCCCCCAGUAGCGGCGAGCGAACGGGGAGGAGCCCAGAGCCUGAAUCAGUGUGUGUGUUAGUGGAAGCGUCUGGAAAGGCGCGCGAUACAGGGUGACAGCCCCGUACACAAAAAUGCACAUAUUGUGAGCUCGAUGAGUAGGGCGGGACACGUGGUAUCCUGUCUGAAUAUGGGGGGACCAUCCUCCAAGGCUAAAUACUCCUGACUGACCGAUAGUGAACCAGUACCGUGAGGGAAAGGCGAAAAGAACCCCGGCGAGGGGAGUGAAAAAGAACCUGAAACCGUGUACGUACAAGCAGUGGGAGCCUCUUAAUGGGGUGACUGCGUACCUUUUGUAUAAUGGGUCAGCGACUUAUAUUCUGUAGCAAGGUUAACCGAAUAGGGGAGCCGAAGGGAAACCGAGUCUUAACUGGGCGUUAAGUUGCAGGGUAUAGACCCGAAACCCGGUGAUCUAGCCAUGGGCAGGUUGAAGGUUGGGUAACACUAACUGGAGGACCGAACCGACUAAUGUUGAAAAAUUAGCGGAUGACUUGUGGCUGGGGGUGAAAGGCCAAUCAAACCGGGAGAUAGCUGGUUCUCCCCGAAAGCUAUUUAGGUAGCGCCUCGUGAAUUCAUCUCCGGGGGUAGAGCACUGUUUCGGCAAGGGGGUCAUCCCGACUUACCAACCCGAUGCAAACUGCGAAUACCGGAGAAUGUUAUCACGGGAGACACACGGCGGGUGCUAACGUCCGUCGUGAAGAGGGAAACAACCCAGACCGCCAGCUAAGGUCCCAAAGUCAUGGUUAAGUGGGAAACGAUGUGGGAAGGCCCAGACAGCCAGGAUGUUGGCUUAGAAGCAGCCAUCAUUUAAAGAAAGCGUAAUAGCUCACUGGUCGAGUCGGCCUGCGCGGAAGAUGUAACGGGGCUAAACCAUGCACCGAAGCUGCGGCAGCGACACUAUGUGUUGUUGGGUAGGGGAGCGUUCUGUAAGCCUGUGAAGGUGUACNNNNNNNNNNNNNNNNNNNNNNNNNNNNNNNNNNNNNNNNNNNNNNNNNNNNNNNNNNNNNNNNNNNNNNNNNNNNNNNNNNNNNNNNNNNNNNNNAUGCUGGAGGUAUCAGAAGUGCGAAUGCUGACAUAAGUAACGAUAAAGCGGGUGAAAAGCCCGCUCGCCGGAAGACCAAGGGUUCCUGUCCAACGUUAAUCGGGGCAGGGUGAGUCGACCCCUAAGGCGAGGCCGAAAGGCGUAGUCGAUGGGAAACAGGUUAAUAUUCCUGUACUUGGUGUUACUGCGAAGGGGGGACGGAGAAGGCUAUGUUGGCCGGGCGACGGUUGUCCCGGUUUAAGCGUGUAGGCUGGUUUUCCAGGCAAAUCCGGAAAAUCAAGGCUGAGGCGUGAUGACGAGGCACUACGGUGCUGAAGCGACAAAUGCCCUGCUUCCAGGAAAAGCCUCUAAGCAUCAGGUAACAUCAAAUCGUACCCCAAACCGACACAGGUGGUCAGGUAGAGAAUACCAAGGCGCUUGAGAGAACUCGGGUGAAGGAACUAGGCAAAAUGGUGCCGUAACUUCGGGAGAAGGCACGCUGAUAUGUAGGUGAAGCGACUUGCUCGUGGAGCUGAAAUCAGUCGAAGAUACCAGCUGGCUGCAACUGUUUAUUAAAAACACAGCACUGUGCAAACACGAAAGUGGACGUAUACGGUGUGACGCCUGCCCGGUGCCGGAAGGUUAAUUGAUGGGGUUAGCGGUAACGCGAAGCUCUUGAUCGAAGCCCCGGUAAACGGCGGCCGUAACUAUAACGGUCCUAAGGUAGCGAAAUUCCUUGUCGGGUAAGUUCCGACCUGCACGAAUGGCGUAAUGAUGGCCAGGCUGUCUCCACCCGAGACUCAGUGAAAUUGAACUCGCUGUGAAGAUGCAGUGUACCCGCGGCAAGACGGAAAGACCCCGUGAACCUUUACUAUAGCUUGACACUGAACAUUGAGCCUUGAUGUGUAGGAUAGGUGGGAGGCUUUGAAGUGUGGACGCCAGUCUGCAUGGAGCCGACCUUGAAAUACCACCCUUUAAUGUUUGAUGUUCUAACGUGGGCCCCUUACCGGGGUUGCGGACAGUGUCUGGUGGGUAGUUUGACUGGGGCGGUCUCCUCCUAAAGAGUAACGGAGGAGCACGAAGGUUGGCUAAUCCUGGUCGGACAUCAGGAGGUUAGUGCAAUGGCAUAAGCCAGCUUGACUGCGAGCGUGACGGCGCGAGCAGGUGCGAAAGCAGGUCAUAGUGAUCCGGUGGUUCUGAAUGGAAGGGCCAUCGCUCAACGGAUAAAAGGUACUCCGGGGAUAACAGGCUGAUACCGCCCAAGAGUUCAUAUCGACGGCGGUGUUUGGCACCUCGAUGUCGGCUCAUCACAUCCUGGGGCUGAAGUAGGUCCCAAGGGUAUGGCUGUUCGCCAUUUAAAGUGGUACGCGAGCUGGGUUUAGAACGUCGUGAGACAGUUCGGUCCCUAUCUGCCGUGGGCGCUGGAGAACUGAGGGGGGCUGCUCCUAGUACGAGAGGACCGGAGUGGACGCAUCACUGGUGUUCGGGUUGUCAUGCCAAUGGCACUGCCCGGUAGCUAAAUGCGGAAGAGAUAAGUGCUGAAAGCAUCUAAGCACGAAACUUGCCCCGAGAUGAGUUCUCCCUGACUCCUUGAGAGUCCUGAAGGAACGUUGAAGACGACGACGUUGAUAGGCCGGGUGUGUAAGCGCAGCGAUGCGUUGAGCUAACCGGUACUAAUGAACCGUGAGGCUUAACCUUACAACGCCGAAG
Molecule: ribosomal RNA, 3013 nt
Filed under: Escherichia coli
Lineage: Bacteria; Pseudomonadati; Pseudomonadota; Gammaproteobacteria; Enterobacterales; Enterobacteriaceae
Description: 23S ribosomal RNA
Rfam family: Bacterial large subunit ribosomal RNA
Source: RNAcentral